GAUGAACGCUGGCGGCGUGCCUAAUACAUGCCAGUCGAGCGAACAGACGAGGAGCUUGCUCCUCUGACGUUAGCGGCGGACGGGUGAGUAACACGUGGAUAACCUACCUAUAAGACUGGGAUAACUUCGGGAAACCGGAGCUAAUACCGGAUAAUAUAUUGAACCGCAUGGUUCAAUAGUGAAAUACGGUUUUGCUGUCACUUAUAGAUGGAUCCGCGCCGCAUUAGCUAGUUGGUAAGGUAACGGCUUACCAAGGCGACGAUGCGUAGCCGACCUGAGAGAGUGAUCGGCGACACGGGAAGGGAGACAGGGACAAGACUCCUACGGGAGGCAGCAGUAGGGAAUCUUCCGCAAUGGGCGAAAGCCUGACGGAGCAACGCCGCGUGAGUGAUGAAGGUCUUCGGAUCGUAAAACUCUGUUAUUAGGGAAGAACAAAUGUGUAAGUAACUAUGCACGUCUUGACGGUACCUAAUCAGAAAGCAACGGCUAACUACGUG
Molecule: ribosomal RNA, 497 nt
Filed under: uncultured bacterium
Lineage: Bacteria
Description: partial 16S ribosomal RNA
Rfam family: Bacterial small subunit ribosomal RNA
Source: RNAcentral